This 744-nucleotide ribosomal RNA is filed under the name uncultured bacterium. Its description in RNAcentral is "bacterial SSU rRNA". It matches the Rfam family "Bacterial small subunit ribosomal RNA", at positions 8 to 796 of the family's 1533-position model. The record is from RNAcentral.
AGAGUUUGAUCCUGGCUCAGAGCGAACGCUGGCGGCAGGCUUAACACAUGCAAGUCGAGCGGGCAUCUUCGGAUGUCAGCGGCAGACGGGUGAGUAACACGUGGGAACGUGCCCUUUGGUUCGGGACAACUCCGGGAAACUGGAGCUAAUACCGGAUACGCCCUUCGGGGGAAAGAUUCAUUGCCAAAGGAUCGGCCCGCGUCUGAUUAGCUAGUUGGUAGGGUAAUGGCCUACCAAGGCGACGAUCAGUAGCUGGUCUGAGAGGAUGAUCAGCCACACUGGGACUGAGACACGGCCCAGACUCCUACGGGAGGCAGCAGUGGGGAAUAUUGGACAAUGGGCGCAAGCCUGAUCCAGCCAUGCCGCGUGAGUGAUGAAGGCCCUAGGGUUGUAAAGCUCUUUUGUCCGGGAAGAUAAUGACUGUACCGGAAGAAUAAGCCCCGGCUAACUUCGUGCCAGCAGCCGCGGUAAUACGAAGGGGGCUAGCGUUGCUCGGAAUCACUGGGCGUAAAGGGCGCGUAGGCGGAUCUUUAAGUCGGGGGUGAAAGCCCAGGGCUCAACCCUGGAAUUGCCUUCGAUACUGAAGAUCUUGAGACCGGUAGAGGUAAGUGGAACUGCGAGUGUAGAGGUGAAAUUCGUAGAUAUUCGCAAGAACACCAGUGGCGAAGGCGGCUUACUGGACCGGUUCUGACGCUGAGGCGCGAAAGCGUGGGGAGCAAACAGGAUUAGAUACCCCAGUAGUCC